AUGUUGCCUCAUGUUGUCUCAUGUUGUCUCAUGUUGUCUCGUGUUGUCUCGUGUUGUCUCGUGUUGUCUCAUGUUGUCUCAUGUUGUCUCAUGUUGUCUCAUGUUGUCUCAUGUUGCCUCAUGUUGUCUCGUGUUGUCUCGUGUUGUCUCGUGUUGUCUCGUGUUGUCUCGUGUUGUCUCAUGUUGUCUCAUGUUGUCUCGUGUUGUCUCGUGUUGUCUCGUGUUGUCUCGUGUUGUCUCGUGUGUCUCAUGUUGUCUCAUGUUGUCUCAUGUUGUCUCGUGUUGUCUCGUGUUGUCUCGUGUUGUCUCGUGUUGUCUCAUGUUGUCUCAUGUUGUCUCGUGUUGUCUCGUGUUGUCUCGUGUUGUCUCGUGUUGUCUCGUGUUGUCUCGUGUUGUCUCGUGUUGUCUCAUGUUGUCUCGUGUUGUCUCGUGUUGUCUCGUGUUGUCUCGUGUUGUCUCGUGUUGUCUCGUGUUGUCUCGUGUUGUCUCGUGUUGUCUCGUGUUGUCUCGUGUUGUCUCGUGUUGUCUCGUGUUGUCUCGUGUUGUCUCGUGUUGUCUCGUGUUGUCUCGUGUUGUCUCGUGUUGUCUCGUGUUGUCUCGUGUUGUCUCGUGUUGUCUCGUGUUGUCUCGUGUUGUCUCGUGUUGUCUCGUGUUGUCUCGUGUUGUCUCGUGUUGUCUCGUGUUGUCUCGUGUUGUCUCGUGUUGUCUCGUGUUGUCUCGUGUUGUCUCGUGUUGUCUCGUGUUGUCUCGUGUUGUCUCGUGUUGUCUCGUGUUGUCUCGUGUUGUCUCGUGUUGUCUCGUGUUGUCUCGUGUUGUCUCGUGUUGUCUCGUGUUGUCUCGUGUUGUCUCGUGUUUGUCUCGUGUUGUCUCGUGUUGUCUCGUGUUGUCUCGUGUUGUCUCGUGUUGUCUCGUGUUGUCUCAUGUUGUCUCAUGUUGUCUCAUGUUGUCUCAUGUUGUCAGCCAGAGUCACAUUUGUUUAUUAUUCAAGCUGUAACACACAAUAAUAAUUUAGAUUCUGUAGGUUUUAAAGGACCAGAGAGUUCUGCUUCGUUUGGUCUUUUUUGCCAAGGAACAUCUGAGAUGGUGGUGUGA
This 1092-nucleotide long non-coding RNA is filed under the name Oncorhynchus kisutch (coho salmon). RNAcentral's name for it is "lncRNA (ENSOKIG00005041553.1)". The record is from RNAcentral. Lineage: Eukaryota; Metazoa; Chordata; Actinopteri; Salmoniformes; Salmonidae.